Molecule: ribosomal RNA, 469 nt
Filed under: uncultured bacterium
Lineage: Bacteria
Description: partial 16S ribosomal RNA
Rfam family: Bacterial small subunit ribosomal RNA
Source: RNAcentral
GACGAACGCCGGCGGCGUGCUUAACACAUGCAAGUCGAACGGAAAGGCCCUGCUUGCAGGGUGCUCGAGUGGCGAACGGGUGAGUAACACGUGGGUGAUCUGCCCCUUACUUUGGGAUAAGCCUGGGAAACUGGGUCUAAUACUGGAUAGGACCAUGCUGUAGGUGGUGUGGUGGAAAGAUUAGUUUCGGUAAGGGAUGAGCUCGCGGCCUAUCAGCUUGUUGGUGGGGUAAUGGCCUACCAAGGCGUCGACGGGUAGCCGGCCUGAGAGGGUGGACGGCCACAUUGGGACUGAGAUACGGCCCAGACUCCUACGGGAGGCAGCAGUGGGGAAUAUUGCACAAUGGGCGCAAGUCUGAUGCAGCGACGCCGCGUGGGGGAUGACGGCCUUCGGGUUGUAAACUCCUUUCAGCCAUGACGAAGCCCUUGUGGUGACGGUAGUGGUAGAAGAAGCACCGGCUGGCUACGUG